This 464-nucleotide ribosomal RNA is filed under the name uncultured bacterium. RNAcentral describes it as "SSU rRNA". It matches the Rfam family "Bacterial small subunit ribosomal RNA", at positions 26 to 518 of the family's 1533-position model. The record is from RNAcentral.
AGAAUCAACGCUGGCGGCGUGCCUAACACAUGCAAGUCGAACGAGAAAGGGUAGCAAUACCUGAGUAAAGUGGCGCACGGGUGAGUAACACGUGACUAACCUACCCUGGAGUGGGGGAUAACUGAGGGAAACCUUAGCUAAUACCGCAUAACACCUACGGGUCAAAGGAGCAAUUCGCUUCAGGAGGGGGUCGCGGCCGAUUAGUUAGUUGGCGGGGUAAUGGCCCACCAAGACAGUGAUCGGUAUCCGGCCUGAGAGGGGCGCGACGGACGACGACUGGAACUGAAACACGGUCCAGACUCCUACGGGAGGCAGCAGUGGGGAAUUUUGCGCAAUGGGGGAAACCCUGACGCAGCAACGCCGCGUGGAGGAUGAAGUACUUCGGUACGUAAACUCCUUUCGAUCGGGACGAUAAUGACGGUACCGGAAGAAGAAGCCCCGGCUAACUUCGUGCCAGCAGCCGC